CGGGCAGUAGCUCAGUGGUAAAGCUCCCGCUUCAUACGUGGGAAGAUCUGGGUUCCACCUCCGGUUGCUUCC
This 72-nucleotide transfer RNA is filed under the name Toxocara canis (dog roundworm). It matches the Rfam family "tRNA". From Rfam's summary of the family: Transfer RNA (tRNA) molecules are approximately 80 nucleotides in length. Their secondary structure includes four short double-helical elements and three loops (D, anti-codon, and T loops). Further hydrogen bonds mediate the characteristic L-shaped molecular structure. tRNAs have two regions of fundamental functional importance: the anti-codon, which is responsible for specific mRNA codon recognition, and the 3' end, to which the tRNAs corresponding amino acid is attached (by aminoacyl-tRNA synthetases). tRNAs cope with the degeneracy of the genetic code in two manners: having more than one tRNA (with a specific anti-codon) for a particular amino acid; and 'wobble' base-pairing, i.e. permitting non-standard base-pairing at the 3rd anti-codon position. The record is from Rfam by way of RNAcentral. Lineage: Eukaryota; Metazoa; Nematoda; Chromadorea; Rhabditida; Toxocaridae.